RNAcentral lists this ribosomal RNA (896 nucleotides) under Cryptodiaporthe populea. Its description in RNAcentral is "LSU rRNA". It matches the Rfam family "Eukaryotic large subunit ribosomal RNA", at positions 38 to 963 of the family's 3401-position model. Lineage: Eukaryota; Fungi; Ascomycota; Sordariomycetes; Diaporthales; Gnomoniaceae. The record is from RNAcentral.
GCAUAUCAAUAAGCGGAGGAAAAGAAACCAACAGGGAUUGCCCUAGUAACGGCGAGUGAAGCGGCAACAGCUCAAAUUUGAAAUCUGGCUUCGGCCCGAGUUGUAAUUUGCAGAGGAUGUUUAUGGUGCGGUACCUUCCGAGUUCCCUGGAACGGGACGCCACAGAGGGUGAGAGCCCCGUCUGGUUGGAUACCAAACCUGUGUUAAACUCCUUCAACGAGUCGAGUAGUUUGGGAAUGCUGCUCUAAAUGGGAGGUAAAUCUCUUCUAAAGCUAAAUACUGGCCAGAGACCGAUAGCGCACAAGUAGAGUGAUCGAAAGAUGAAAAGCACCUUGAAAAGGGGGUUAAACAGUACGUGAAAUUGUUGAAAGGGAAGCGUUUAUGACCAGACUUGUGUCGUGUGGCUCAUCCGAGGUUCUCCCCGGUGCACUCCAUGCGGCUCAGGCCAACAUCGGUUCUUGUUGGAGGAUAAGAACAGUAGGAACGUAGCUCCUCUUCGGGGGAGUGUUAUAGCCUAUUGUACGAUACUCUGACGGGGACCGAGGACCGCGCUUCGGCUAGGAUGUUGGCGUAAUGGUCAUUAGCGACCCGUCUUGAAACACGGACCAAGGAGUCGUCCAUUAGAGCGAGCGUUUGGGUGUAAAACCCGCACGCGUAAUGAAAGUGAAAUUAGGUGAGAGCUUCGGCGCAUCAUCGACCGAUCCUGAAGUUUACGGAUGGAUUUGAGUAAGAGUUUUAACGGACGGACCCGAAAGACAGUGAACUAUGCUUGAAUAGGGUGAAGCCAGAGGAAACUCUGGUGGAGGCUCGCAGCGGUUCUGACGUGCAAAUCGAUCGUCAAAUUUGAGCAUGGGGGCGAAAGACUAAUCGAACUGUCUAGUAGCUGGUUACCGCGA